AUGAUGAAAGGACCCCCCCAGCAGGACCCAGCCCAGAGCAGCCCCCCUUCCACCUUCAUCCUCCUCGUCUUCUUCCUCGCAGCCCUCCCAGGGCUGCGGGCGGCCGUGCAACUGGUCGAGUCCGGAGGGGGCCUCCAGCCCCCCGGGGGGUCCCUGCGCCUCCUCUGCAAGGGCUCCGGCUUCACCUUCAGCAGCUUCGACAUGAACUGGAUCCGACAGGCGCCCGGGAAGGGGCUCGAGUGGGUCGCGGGUAUUACCAGCAGUGGUAGCACCUGGUACGCGUCGUCGGUCCAAGGACGCUUCACCAUCUCGAAGGACAACUCCCAGAGCACGGUCACGCUGCAGAUGAACAGCCUCAGGGCCGACGACACGGCCACCUACUACUGCGGGAAAUAUAAUGACAAUGCUGAUGGCCCUGACCUCGGCACCGAGCCAUCAGCAUCCCAGCGCUGUGUCCUGAAAUCCCGACCCUCGCCCUGA
Aquila chrysaetos chrysaetos is the source of this 480-nucleotide non-coding RNA. The record is from the annotation of a RefSeq genome assembly. NCBI's taxonomy places the organism in Eukaryota, Metazoa, Chordata, Aves, Accipitriformes, Accipitridae.